This 465-nucleotide ribosomal RNA is filed under the name Vreelandella stevensii. RNAcentral's name for it is "partial 16S ribosomal RNA". It matches the Rfam family "Bacterial small subunit ribosomal RNA", at positions 338 to 795 of the family's 1533-position model. Lineage: Bacteria; Pseudomonadati; Pseudomonadota; Gammaproteobacteria; Oceanospirillales; Halomonadaceae. The record is from RNAcentral.
CCUACGGGUGGCAGCAGUGGGGAAUAUUGGACAAUGGGGGCAACCCUGAUCCAGCCAUGCCGCGUGUGUGAAGAAGGCCCUCGGGUUGUAAAGCACUUUCAGUGAGGAAGAACGCCUGGUGGUUAAUACCCAUCAGGAAAGACAUCACUCACAGAAGAAGCACCGGCUAACUCCGUGCCAGCAGCCGCGGUAAUACGGAGGGUGCGAGCGUUAAUCGGAAUUACUGGGCGUAAAGCGCGCGUAGGUGGCUUGAUAAGCCGGUUGUGAAAGCCCCGGGCUCAACCUGGGAACGGCAUCCGGAACUGUCAAGCUAGAGUGCAGGAGAGGAAGGUAGAAUUCCCGGUGUAGCGGUGAAACGCGUAGAGAUCGGGAGGAAUACCAGUGGCGAAGGCGGCCUUCUGGACUGACACUGACACUGAGGUGCGAAAGCGUGGGUAGCAAACAGGAUUAGAUACCCCAGUAGUC